Oryctolagus cuniculus (rabbit) is the source of this 750-nucleotide non-coding RNA. The record is from RefSeq and is a predicted model, not a curated record. NCBI's taxonomy places the organism in Eukaryota, Metazoa, Chordata, Mammalia, Lagomorpha, Leporidae.
GGCCCAGAGGGGAAAGGAGGCGGGGUCAGAGGCGGAGCCGGCGCGUGCGCGCGCGUCUCGGCCGAAGCCCCGCCCCCUCCCCUAGAGGCGGGACGCGCGCCGGGGCCGCCCACGAGCGAGGUGGACAAAAGGCCAGACCCGCCGCUAGGCGCGGGGAGCCCUGCGGAUGGCCGUUGGCGCCCGACGCCCUGCCGCGAGGUCCGCGGGGCCAUGGGCCCCAUUCCCACGCCCUUUUGUAACAAGCCACACCUUCCUUCUUCCUCUCCUCUCACAGCCUCAACCCAAAGUCUGGAGGGGGCCCACAGCGGGGGCCUUCUGCGAGCGCGUUCCGGAAGCGCUCCCGUCUCCCAACAUUGCACAGGUGAAGAAACUGAGGCUCGGAUGCUCUCUGCUAUGGCCUGGGAAAGCAGUAGAAGAUGGCCCAAGUCCUUGGGCCCCUGCACCUAUGUGGGACAGACACCUGGAUUAGAAGCUCCUGGCUCCUGGCUUCGGAUCGGCACAGCGCCGGGUGUUGCAGCCAAUUGAGGAGUGAACUGGUGGAUGGAAGACAUCUCUCUGCCUCUCCUUCCCUCUGUGUGUAACACUGACUUUCAAAUAAAUAUAUCUAAAGAAAAAAAAAAAAAGAGGCUGCCUGGGCCUUGGAGAUAAUGUGUUAAGGACAAAUACCCUUAGACUGCAGAUCUCAGCGGCUUGGUCUCUCACCCUCACUGUUCGCUUUUCUCUUUUUCUUAAGUAAAAUUUCUACUCUCA